This 253-nucleotide ribosomal RNA is filed under the name uncultured bacterium. RNAcentral describes it as "partial 16S ribosomal RNA". It matches the Rfam family "Bacterial small subunit ribosomal RNA", at positions 524 to 776 of the family's 1533-position model. The record is from RNAcentral.
UACGUAGGGCGCGAGCGUUGUCCGGAAUUAUUGGGCGUAAAGAGCUCGUAGGCGGUUUGUCGCGUCUGCUGUGAAAACCUAAGGCUCAACCUUGGGCUUGCAGUGGGUACGGGCAGACUAGAGUGCGGUAGGGGUGACUGGAAUUCCUGGUGUAGCGGUGGAAUGCGCAGAUAUCAGGAGGAACACCGAUGGCGAAGGCAGAUCUCUGGGCCGUAACUGACGCUGAGGAGCGAAAGCGUGGGGAGCGAACAGG